This 692-nucleotide ribosomal RNA is filed under the name uncultured Lachnospiraceae bacterium. Its description in RNAcentral is "bacterial SSU rRNA". It matches the Rfam family "Bacterial small subunit ribosomal RNA", at positions 69 to 776 of the family's 1533-position model. Lineage: Bacteria; Bacillati; Bacillota; Clostridia; Lachnospirales; Lachnospiraceae. The record is from RNAcentral.
CGAGAGAGAGCUUGCUUUCUCGAGCGAGUGGCGAACGGGUGAGUAACGCGUGAGGAACCUGCCUCAAAGAGGGGGACAACAGUUGGAAACGACUGCUAAUACCGCAUAAGCCCACGACCCGGCAUCGGGUAGAGGGAAAAGGAGCAAUCCGCUUUGAGAUGGCCUCGCGUCCGAUUAGCUAGUUGGUGAGGUAACGGCCCACCAAGGCGACGAUCGGUAGCCGGACUGAGAGGUUGAACGGCCACAUUGGGACUGAGACACGGCCCAGACUCCUACGGGAGGCAGCAGUGGGGAAUAUUGCACAAUGGGGGAAACCCUGAUGCAGCGACGCCGCGUGGAGGAAGAAGGUCUUCGGAUUGUAAACUCCUGUUGUUGAGGAAGAUAAUGACGGUACUCAACAAGGAAGUGACGGCUAACUACGUGCCAGCAGCCGCGGUAAAACGUAGGUCACAAGCGUUGUCCGGAAUUACUGGGUGUAAAGGGAGCGCAGGCGGGAAGACAAGUUGGAAGUGAAAUCCAUGGGCUCAACCCAUGAACUGCUUUCAAAACUGUUUUUCUUGAGUAGUGCAGAGGUAGGCGGAAUUCCCGGUGUAGCGGUGGAAUGCGUAGAUAUCGGGAGGAACACCAGUGGCGAAGGCGGCCUACUGGGCACCAACUGACGCUGAGGCUCGAAAGUGUGGGUAGCAAACAGG